UACGAAGGGUGCAAGCGUUACUCGGAAUUACUGGGCGUAAAGCGUGCGUAGGCGGUUUGUUAAGUCCGUCGUGAAAGCCCCGGGCUCAACCUGGGAAUGGCGAUGGAAACUGGCGAGCUAGAGUACGGUAGAGGAGAGUGGAAUUCCCGGUGUAGCAGUGAAAUGCGUAGAGAUCGGGAGGAACAUCAGUUGCGAAGGCGGCUCUCUGGACCAGUACUGACACUGAGGAGCGAAAGCCAGGGGAGCAAACGGG
RNAcentral lists this ribosomal RNA (253 nucleotides) under uncultured bacterium. Its description in RNAcentral is "partial 16S ribosomal RNA". It matches the Rfam family "Bacterial small subunit ribosomal RNA", at positions 524 to 776 of the family's 1533-position model. The record is from RNAcentral.